Long non-coding RNA from Cavia porcellus (domestic guinea pig), 316 nucleotides. RefSeq lists it as uncharacterized. NCBI's taxonomy places the organism in Eukaryota, Metazoa, Chordata, Mammalia, Rodentia, Caviidae. The transcript has 3 exons. The record is from RefSeq and is a predicted model, not a curated record.
GGAUCUGUGAGCAGGCAGAGGGGCUGAGCAACGGCUCUUGGGAAUAAUUUCUCUGCGGUGGACCAUACUGAGUUGAUGUGUUCUCACCAUUUGUCACCUCCCUGCCUAGGGAUUUCAGAACAAACUGUAAGGCAGAAAUCAGCUGUGACAAAGAAAAAGUUUCUCUGACAGAGGCACGAAUUUCCACAUGGACAUGAGGUUGGGAUCAUGGGAAGGAGCAGAGAGAGAUUCAAGAAAAGAACAGCCUUGAUGAUGUGGCAGUAGUGGAAAAGAAGAAAAAGAUUAAAAAUAUCAAUCAGCCUGGGACAGACACAAG